RNAcentral lists this ribosomal RNA (1022 nucleotides) under Bacillus sp. EA_S_40. RNAcentral describes it as "bacterial SSU rRNA". It matches the Rfam family "Bacterial small subunit ribosomal RNA", at positions 94 to 1099 of the family's 1533-position model. The record is from RNAcentral. Lineage: Bacteria; Bacillati; Bacillota; Bacilli; Caryophanales; Bacillaceae.
AGCGGCGGACGGGUGAGUAACACGUGGGCAACCUGCCUGUAAGACUGGGAUAACUCCGGGAAACCGGAGCUAAUACCGGAUAGUAUCUUGAACCGCAUGGUUCAAGUUGGAAAGACGGUUUCGGCUGUCACUUACAGAUGGGCCCGCGGCGCAUUAGCUAGUUGGUGAGGUAAUGGCUCACCAAGGCAACGAUGCGUAGCCGACCUGAGAGGGUGAUCGGCCACACUGGGACUGAGACACGGCCCAGACUCCUACGGGAGGCAGCAGUAGGGAAUCUUCCGCAAUGGACGAAAGUCUGACGGAGCAACGCCGCGUGAGUGAUGAAGGUUUUCGGAUCGUAAAACUCUGUUGUUAGGGAAGAACAAGUGCGAGAGUAACUGCUCGCACCUUGACGGUACCUAACCAGAAAGCCACGGCUAACUACGUGCCAGCAGCCGCGGUAAUACGUAGGUGGCAAGCGUUGUCCGGAAUUAUUGGGCGUAAAGCGCGCGCAGGCGGUUUCUUAAGUCUGAUGUGAAAGCCCCCGGCUCAACCGGGGAGGGUCAUUGGAAACUGGGAAACUUGAGUGCAGAAGAGGAGAGUGGAAUUCCACGUGUAGCGGUGAAAUGCGUAGAGAUGUGGAGGAACACCAGUGGCGAAGGCGACUCUCUGGUCUGUAACUGACGCUGAGGCGCGAAAGCGUGGGGAGCGAACAGGAUUAGAUACCCUGGUAGUCCACGCCGUAAACGAUGAGUGCUAAGUGUUAGAGGGUUUCCGCCCUUUAGUGCUGCAGCUAACGCAUUAAGCACUCCGCCUGGGGAGUACGGUCGCAAGACUGAAACUCAAAGGAAUUGACGGGGGCCCGCACAAGCGGUGGAGCAUGUGGUUUAAUUCGAAGCAACGCGAAGAACCUUACCAGGUCUUGACAUCCUUUGCCACUUCUAGAGAUAGAAGGUUCCCCUUCGGGGGACAAAGUGACAGGUGGUGCAUGGUUGUCGUCAGCUCGUGUCGUGAGAUGUUGGGUUAAGUCCCGCAACGAGCGC